GACGAACGCUGGCGGCGUGCUUAACACAUGCAAGUCGAACGAAAAGAGGGAAAGAGCUUGCUCUUUCCGGAAUUGAGUGGCAAACGGGUGAGUAACACGUAAACAACCUGCCUUCAGGAUGGGGUCAACAGACGGAAACGACUGCUAAUACCGAAUACGUUCCAAGAGGCGCAUGGCCCAUGGAAGAAAAGGUGGCCUCUACCUGUAAGCUAUCGCCGGAAGAGGGGUUUGCGUCUGAUUAGCUGGUUGUAGGGGUAACGGCCCACCAAGGCGACGAUCAGUAGCCGGUCUGAGAGGAUGAUCGGCCACACUGGAACUGAGACACGGUCCAGACUCCUACGGGAGGCAGCAGUGGGGAAUCUUCCGCAAUGGGGGAAAGCCUGACGGAGCAACGCCGCGUGAGAGAUGACGGCCUUCGGGUUGUAAAACUCUGUGUUCCGGGACGAAAAGGCAGAGUGCGAAGAACAAACUGCAUGGACGGUACCGGAAAAGCAAGCCACGGCAAACUACGU
This 512-nucleotide ribosomal RNA is filed under the name uncultured bacterium. RNAcentral's name for it is "partial 16S ribosomal RNA". It matches the Rfam family "Bacterial small subunit ribosomal RNA", at positions 28 to 506 of the family's 1533-position model. The record is from RNAcentral.